This 162-nucleotide ribosomal RNA is filed under the name uncultured bacterium. RNAcentral describes it as "partial 16S ribosomal RNA". It matches the Rfam family "Bacterial small subunit ribosomal RNA", at positions 355 to 507 of the family's 1533-position model. The record is from RNAcentral.
UGGGGAAUUUUGGACAAUGGGCGCAAGCCUGAUCCAGCCAUUCCGCGUGCAGGAUGAAGGCCCUCGGGUUGUAAACUGCUUUUGUACGGAACGAAAAGGCUCUGGCUAAUACCCGGGGCUCAUGACGGUACCGUAAGAAUAAACACCGGCUAACUUACCUUG